This 831-nucleotide long non-coding RNA is filed under the name Vulpes vulpes (red fox). RNAcentral's name for it is "lncRNA (ENSVVUG00000004048.1)". Lineage: Eukaryota; Metazoa; Chordata; Mammalia; Carnivora; Canidae. The record is from RNAcentral.
CAUUAGUUGUAUAUUUGAUAUCCGUUUAAUCUUCACAACUCUAUGACAUAAUGUUGUUACCCCUUUUACAGAUGAGGAAAUUGAGGAACAUGGUAGGAAAGUCUGGAGUCAGUCCUCUGCUAAACCUUAAGACUGGGAAGACCCGAAAUCCAGGCCAGAAAUUCCAGCCAGACUCUGCACAGAGCCAACUGGAUGCAUCUCACACUCAACAGAUGAUGCUGUGACAUCCAAUGCUCAUCCCUCCCCUAGUGGAAUUGCUGGUCUGUCUGUCCUGUCCCCCAAUGUGUGAAUGUAAGCUGCAGAAGUGCUCGGAUUCUACUGGUCUUGGAAACAAAGGCCUGGCAGACAGAGCAGGUACUCAAUAUUAUAUUUGUUGAAUGAGUGAAUGAAUAGAUGAACAAGUAGGAGGAUCUGUUUGUUUUUAUCUAUCUGUUUUAAUUUUUAAAGAUUUUAUUUAUUCAGUUGAUAAGUCAUGCACACACACUAGUAGAGGAGUGGCAGGCAGAGGGAGAGGGAGAAGCAGGCUCCCUGCUGAGCAGGGGACCCAACGUGGGGCUGGAUCCCAGGACCCUGGGAUCAUGACCUGAGCUGAAGGCAGAUGCUUAACCUACUGAGCCACCCCGGUACCCCAGAAGGAUCAAUUUAGAUACCAAGCAGAGAGGUAGGCCCAUUUACACAGUUGUCCUAGGAUGGGGUUGUCAUACUCAAGUAGUGGAGUGGCCCAGAGCCUUGGUUUGGAGGCAGAUAAAUGGAUUUGUAUCCUGUUUCUGACAGUAUGUGUAUGGGUGACAUUAGGCAGGCUCCUUGGCUUCACUGUGCCUGGGGUUUUCC